This 253-nucleotide ribosomal RNA is filed under the name uncultured bacterium. Its description in RNAcentral is "partial 16S ribosomal RNA". It matches the Rfam family "Bacterial small subunit ribosomal RNA", at positions 524 to 776 of the family's 1533-position model. The record is from RNAcentral.
UACGAAGGGAGCUAGCGUUGUUCGGAAUCACUGGGCGUAAAGCGCACGUAGGCGGAUUUGCCAGUCAGGGGUGAAAUCCCGGGGCUCAACCUCGGAACUGCCUUUGAUACAGCAAGUCUUGAGUUCGAGAGAGGUGGGUGGAAUUCCUAGUGUAGAGGUGAAAUUCGUAGAUAUUAGGAAGAACGCCGGUGGCGAAGGCGGCCCACUGGCUCGAUACUGACGCUGAGGUGCGAAAGCGUGGGGAGCAAACAGG